RNAcentral lists this ribosomal RNA (449 nucleotides) under uncultured bacterium. RNAcentral's name for it is "partial 16S ribosomal RNA". It matches the Rfam family "Bacterial small subunit ribosomal RNA", at positions 29 to 523 of the family's 1533-position model. The record is from RNAcentral.
AACGAACGCUGGCGGCAUGCCUAACACAUGCAAGUCGAACGGGAUCUUCGGGUCUAGUGGCGCACGGGUGCGUAACGCGUGGGAAUCUGCCCUGUGGUUCGGCAGAACCGUUGGAUACGACUGCUACUACCGGAUGAUGACCGUAGGCCAAAGACUUAUCGCCAGAGGAUGAGCCCGCGUAGGAUUAGCUAGUUGGUGUGGUAAAGGCGCACAAAGGCGACGUUCCUUAGCUGGCCUGAGAGGAUGAUCAACCACACGGAGACUGAGACACGGCCCAGACUCCUGCGGGAGGCAGCAGUGGGGAAUAUUGGACAAUGGGCGAAAGCCUGAUCCAGCAAUGCCGCGUGAGUGAUGAAGGCCUUAGGGUUGUAAAGCUCUUUUACGCGGGAUGAUAAUGACAGUACCGGGAGAAUAAGCUCCGGCUAACUCCGUGCCAGCCGCCGCCGUAA